UACGAAGGGGACUAGCGUUGUUCGGAAUUACUGGGCGUAAAGCGCACGUAGGCGGAUUUGUUAGUCAGGGGUGAAAUCCCGGGGCUCAACCUCGGAACUGCCUUUGAUACUGCAAGUCUCGAGUCCGAUAGAGGUGGGUGGAAUUCCUAGUGUAGAGGUGAAAUUCGUAGAUAUUAGGAAGAACACCGGUGGCGAAGGCGGCCCACUGGAUCGGUACUGACGCUGAGGUGCGGAAGCGUGGGGAGCAAACAGG
Molecule: ribosomal RNA, 253 nt
Filed under: uncultured bacterium
Lineage: Bacteria
Description: partial 16S ribosomal RNA
Rfam family: Bacterial small subunit ribosomal RNA
Source: RNAcentral